AACCUAGGAAAAGGUAUCAACUCGGAGCU
RNAcentral lists this non-coding RNA (29 nucleotides) under Cricetulus griseus (Chinese hamster). Lineage: Eukaryota; Metazoa; Chordata; Mammalia; Rodentia; Cricetidae. The record is from RNAcentral.